AACGAACGCUGGCGGCAUGCCUAACACAUGCAAGUCGAACGAAACCUCCGGGUCUAGUGGCGCACGGGUGUGUAACGCGUGGGAACCUUCACUUAGGUUCGGCAUAACUCUCCGAAAGGGGUGCUAAUACCGGACAAUGUCUUCUGACCAAAGAUUUAUCGACCUUGUUUGGGCCCGCGUUGGAUUAGCUAGUUGGUAGGGUAAAAGCUUACCAAGGCGACGAUCCAUAGCUGGUCUGAGAGGAUGAUCAGCCACACUGGGACUGAGACACGGCCCAGACUCCUACGGGAGGCAGCAGUGGGGAAUAGUGGACAAUGGGCGGAAGCAUGAACCAGCAAUGCCGCGUGAGUGAUGAAGGCCUUAGGGUUGUAAAGCGCUUUUACCCGGGAUGAUAAUGACAGUACCGGGAGAAUAAGCCCCGGCUAACUCCGUG
Molecule: ribosomal RNA, 433 nt
Filed under: uncultured bacterium
Lineage: Bacteria
Description: partial 16S ribosomal RNA
Rfam family: Bacterial small subunit ribosomal RNA
Source: RNAcentral